This 304-nucleotide ribosomal RNA is filed under the name uncultured bacterium. Its description in RNAcentral is "partial 16S ribosomal RNA". It matches the Rfam family "Bacterial small subunit ribosomal RNA", at positions 506 to 807 of the family's 1533-position model. The record is from RNAcentral.
CAGCAGCAGCCGCGGGAAAACAGAGGGUGCGAGCGUUAAUCGGAUUUACUGGGCGUAAAGCGUGCGUAGGCGGCUUCUUAAGUCGGAUGUGAAAUCCCUGAGCUUAACUUAGGAAUUGCAUUCGAUACUGGGAAGCUAGAGUAUGGGAGAGGAUGGUAGAAUUCCAGGUGUAGCGGUGAAAUGCGUAGAGAUCUGGAGGAAUACCGAUGGCGAAGGCAGCCAUCUGGCCUAAUACUGACGCUGAGGUACGAAAGCAUGGGGAGCAAACAGGAUUAGAUACCCCGGUAGUCCCUGUCUCUUAUAC